RNAcentral lists this ribosomal RNA (467 nucleotides) under uncultured bacterium. RNAcentral describes it as "partial 16S ribosomal RNA". It matches the Rfam family "Bacterial small subunit ribosomal RNA", at positions 28 to 507 of the family's 1533-position model. The record is from RNAcentral.
GAUGAACGCUGGCGGCGUGCUUAACACAUGCAAGUCGAACGGAAAGGCCCAAGCUUGCUUGGGUACUCGAGUGGCGAACGGGUGAGUAACACGUGGGUGAUCUGCCCUGCACUUCGGGAUAAGCCUGGGAAACUGGGUCUAAUACCGGAUAGGACCACUUCUUGGAUGUUGUGGUGGAAAGUUUUUUCGGUGUGGGAUGAGCUCGCGGCCUAUCAGCUUGUUGGUGGGGUAAUGGCCUACCAAGGCGUCGACGGGGAGCCGGCCUGAGAGGGUGUACGGCCACAUUGGGACUGAGAUACGGCCCAGACUCCUACGGGAGGCAGCAGUGGGGAAUAUUGCACAAUGGGCGCAAGCCUGAUGCAGCGACGCCGCGUGGGGGAUGACGGCCUUCGGGUUGUAAACUCCUUUCGCUAGGGACGAAGCGUUUUGUGACGGUACCUGGAGAAGAAGCACCGGCUAACUACGUG